GCUGGGAUGGCCGAGUCGUUAAGGCGAGUGAUUUGAAUUUCAAUCAUCACUUGGUGUUUCACCGCGUAGGUUCAAAUCCUGCUUCCAGCG
Molecule: transfer RNA, 90 nt
Organism: Termitomyces sp. J132
Lineage: Eukaryota; Fungi; Basidiomycota; Agaricomycetes; Agaricales; Lyophyllaceae
Rfam family: tRNA
About the family: Transfer RNA (tRNA) molecules are approximately 80 nucleotides in length. Their secondary structure includes four short double-helical elements and three loops (D, anti-codon, and T loops).
Source: Rfam